UACGAAGGGUGCAAGCGUUACUCGGAAUUACUGGGCGUAAAGCGUGCGUAGGUGGUUUGUUAAGUCUGAUGUGAAAUUCCCGGGCUCAACCUGGGAAUGGCAUUGGAUACUGGCAGGCUAGAGUGCGGUAGAGGGUGGUGGAAUUCCCGGUGUAGCAGUGAAAUGCGUAGAGAUCGGGAGGAACAUCUGUGGCGAAGGCGGCCACCUGGACCAGCACUGACACUGAGGCACGAAAGCGUGGGGAGCAAACAGG
This 253-nucleotide ribosomal RNA is filed under the name uncultured bacterium. Its description in RNAcentral is "partial 16S ribosomal RNA". It matches the Rfam family "Bacterial small subunit ribosomal RNA", at positions 524 to 776 of the family's 1533-position model. The record is from RNAcentral.